RNAcentral lists this ribosomal RNA (450 nucleotides) under uncultured bacterium. RNAcentral describes it as "partial 16S ribosomal RNA". It matches the Rfam family "Bacterial small subunit ribosomal RNA", at positions 354 to 796 of the family's 1533-position model. The record is from RNAcentral.
GUAGGGAAUCUUCGGCAAUGGACGAAAGUCUGACCGAGCAACGCCGCGUGAGUGAAGAAGGUUUUCGGAUCGUAAAACUCUGUUGUUAGAGAAGAAUGUUGAUUAGAGUGGAAAAUUAAUCAAGUGACGGUAUCUAACCAGAAAGGGACGGCUAACUACGUGCCAGCAGCCGCGGUAAUACGUAGGUCCCGAGCGUUGUCCGGAUUUAUUGGGCGUAAAGCGAGCGCAGGUGGUUUAAUAAGUCUGAUGUAAAAGGCAGUGGCUCAACCGUUGUGUGCAUUGGAAACUGUUAGACUUGAGUGCAGUAGAGGAGAGUGGAAUUCCAUGUGUAGCGGUGAAAUGCGUAGAUAUAUGGAGGAACACCGGUGGCGAAAGCGGCUCUCUGGUCUGUAACUGACGCUGAGGUUCGAAAGCGUGGGUAGCAAACAGGAUUAGAUACCCCAGUAGUCC